RNAcentral lists this ribosomal RNA (404 nucleotides) under Verrucomicrobiota bacterium. RNAcentral describes it as "Verrucomicrobia bacterium partial 16S ribosomal RNA". It matches the Rfam family "Bacterial small subunit ribosomal RNA", at positions 355 to 776 of the family's 1533-position model. Lineage: Bacteria; Pseudomonadati; Verrucomicrobiota. The record is from RNAcentral.
UGGGGAAUAUUGGACAAUGGGCGCAAGCCUGAUCCAGCCAUGCCGCGUGAGUGAUGAAGGCCCUAGGGUUGUAAAGCUCUUUCACCGGUGAAUAUAAUGACGGUAACCGGAGAAGAAGCCCCGGCUAACUUCGUGCCAGCAGCCGCGGUAAUACGAAGGGGGCUCGCGUUGUUCGGAUUUACUGGCCGUAAAGCGCACGUAGGCGGACUUUUAAGUCAGGGGUGAAAUCCGGGGGCUCAACCCCGGAACUGCCUUUGAUACUGGAAGUCUUGAGUAUGGUAGAGGUGAGUGGAAUUACGGGUGUAGAGGUGAAAUUCGUAGAUAUUCGGAGGAACACCAGUGGCGAAGGCGGCUCACUGGACAAUUUCUGACGCUGAGGUGCGAAAGAGUGGGGAGCAAACAGG